This 28-nucleotide non-coding RNA is filed under the name Homo sapiens (human). The record is from RNAcentral. Lineage: Eukaryota; Metazoa; Chordata; Mammalia; Primates; Hominidae.
UGAGGUGUUCUUUUCAUGGUGUGAAACC